This 301-nucleotide ribosomal RNA is filed under the name uncultured bacterium. RNAcentral's name for it is "partial 16S ribosomal RNA". It matches the Rfam family "Bacterial small subunit ribosomal RNA", at positions 512 to 810 of the family's 1533-position model. The record is from RNAcentral.
CAGCCGCGGUAAUACAGAGGGUGCGAGCGUUAAUCGGAUUUACUGGGCGUAAAGCGUGCGUAGGCGGCUAAUUGAGUCGGAUGUGAAAUCCCCGAGCUUAACUUGGGAAUUGCAUUCGAUACUGGUUAGCUAGAGUGUGGGAGAGGAUGGUAGAAUUCCAGGUGUAGCGGUGAAAUGCGUAGAGAUCUGGAGGAAUACCGAUGGCGAAGGCAGCCAUCUGGCCUAACACUGACGCUGAGGUACGAAAGCAUGGGGAGCAAACAGGAUUAGAUACCCCCGUAGUCCCUGUCUCUUAUACACA